Molecule: microRNA precursor, 67 nt
Filed under: Bombyx mori (domestic silkworm)
Lineage: Eukaryota; Metazoa; Arthropoda; Insecta; Lepidoptera; Bombycidae
Description: mir-2774 microRNA precursor family
Rfam family: mir-2774 microRNA precursor family
Source: Rfam by way of RNAcentral
AAUACAUUCAGACCGUCGGUUUACUGAAUAACUUUACCCGCUCAGUGGAAGAUCUCUCCUUUGUUGU